AGUGAACGCUGGCGGUAGGCCUAACACAUGCAAGUCGAACGGCAGCACAGUAAGAGCUUGCUCUUACGGGUGGCGAGUGGCGGACGGGUGAGGAAUACAUCGGAAUCUACUUUUUCGUGGGGGAUAACGUAGGGAAACUUACGCUAAUACCGCAUACGACCUACGGGUGAAAGCAGUGGAUCUUCGGACCUUGCGCGAUUGUAUGAGCCGAUGUCGGAUUAGCUAGUUGGCGGGGUAAAGGCCCACCAAGGCGACGAUGCGUAGCUGGUCUGAGAGGAUGAUCAGCCACACUGGAACUGAGACACGGUCCAGACUCCUACGGGAGGCAGCAGUGGGGAAUAUUGGGCAAAGGGCGCAAGCCUGAUCCAGCCAUACCGCGUGGGUGAAGAAGGCCUUCGGGUUGUAAAGCCCUUUUGUUGGGAAAGAAAAGCAGCAGGUUAAUACCCCGCUGUUCUGACGGUACCCAAAGAAUAAGCACCGGCUAACUUCGUG
This 492-nucleotide ribosomal RNA is filed under the name uncultured bacterium. Its description in RNAcentral is "partial 16S ribosomal RNA". It matches the Rfam family "Bacterial small subunit ribosomal RNA", at positions 29 to 507 of the family's 1533-position model. The record is from RNAcentral.